Molecule: transfer RNA, 72 nt
Filed under: Ornithorhynchus anatinus (platypus)
Lineage: Eukaryota; Metazoa; Chordata; Mammalia; Monotremata; Ornithorhynchidae
Rfam family: tRNA
About the family: Transfer RNA (tRNA) molecules are approximately 80 nucleotides in length. Their secondary structure includes four short double-helical elements and three loops (D, anti-codon, and T loops). Further hydrogen bonds mediate the characteristic L-shaped molecular structure. tRNAs have two regions of fundamental functional importance: the anti-codon, which is responsible for specific mRNA codon recognition, and the 3' end, to which the tRNAs corresponding amino acid is attached (by aminoacyl-tRNA synthetases). tRNAs cope with the degeneracy of the genetic code in two manners: having more than one tRNA (with a specific anti-codon) for a particular amino acid; and 'wobble' base-pairing, i.e. permitting non-standard base-pairing at the 3rd anti-codon position.
Source: Rfam by way of RNAcentral
GGCAGAGUGGCUUAGUGGAAAGAGCAUGGGGCUGGGAGUCAGGAGACUUGGGUUCUAGUCCAGGCUCUGCCA